CACCAUGGAACCUAGCUGAGAGGAAGCCCAGGCAACGUGGUGAUGCCACACAUGGGUAUUCUGCUCAACAGCCCCAGCUAAGGUCCCAGCCAACAGCCAGCUUUGACUACCAGACAUGUGAAUGAAUGAACCUUCAGAUAACUCCAGCCCCACCUUUGAGUCUUUCAGCUGAGCCUCAGACACUAUGAAGCAGACUAGCUGUCCUCAAAAUGCCGUGUGCGAAUUCCUGACCUACAGGAACCAUGAAAAUAGUAUAGCCAAAUAUUUGUCCAAAGCAGUUGAGCCAGCAACGUAAGAGAGUUCCAAUUGCUUCCUGUCUUCACCAGCGUUUGGGAAACAUUCUGAACAGUGACUGGAUCAUCCAAUACGCGUUUGUGGAAAGCAGAAUGGCGGAGAGGGACGUGGAAGGAUAGAGAAAGAGACGCAGGAGGGGAAGAAGAAUGCAGCAGCUGUGAUGCAAUUCCAGUCCCAGGCCUUAAGAAGAUCUGGCAGCUUCUGCUUUUGCUCCCUGGGGGAAGCCAGCCCGCUGUGAGCAGUCCAACUAUCCUGAGAGAUCACCUGGAGAGGCCAAGCAGAGGAGAACUGAGGAACCCAGCCAACACCAAGGACUGAAGCCUAGAUAUAUGACCCCACUUGAAUUGUUCCAACCAGACCUCAGCUUUUUGAGCCAUUCCAGCUGAGGCCCCAGACAUCACAGAACAGAGAUGAGCUAUUCCCACCAUGCUCUGAUCAAGUUACUGACCCACAAAGCCAUGUUCCAAUGAAAUGCUGUUUUAAGCCACUAAGUUGUGGGAUAGUUUGUUGCACAGCAAAAGAUACCUGAAACAGGAGAUAUUCACCACGAAAAUGACAAUUCCUUUCAUCAUUCUCAGUUUUUAUUCUCCUUAAAAUAUGCCUGUGGGAAGAAAACAACUCUUAAUACAAGGUAAAAGUCAUAAUAGA
Molecule: long non-coding RNA, 942 nt
Organism: Equus caballus (horse)
Lineage: Eukaryota; Metazoa; Chordata; Mammalia; Perissodactyla; Equidae
Source: RefSeq, a predicted model, not a curated record